UACGGAGGGUGCAAGCGUUAUCCGGAUUUACUGGGUUUAAAGGGUGCGUAGGUGGAUUAGUAAGUCAGUGGUGAAAUCUCCGGGCUUAACCCGGAAACUGCCAUUGAUACUAUUAGUCUUGAAUUAUCUGGAGGUAAGCGGAAUAUGUCAUGUAGCGGUGAAAUGCUUAGAUAUGACAUAGAACACCCAUUGCGAAGGCAGCUUACUACGGAUAUAUUGACACUGAGGCACGAAAGCGUGGGGAUCAAACAGG
Molecule: ribosomal RNA, 253 nt
Filed under: uncultured bacterium
Lineage: Bacteria
Description: partial 16S ribosomal RNA
Rfam family: Bacterial small subunit ribosomal RNA
Source: RNAcentral